Molecule: transfer RNA, 84 nt
Filed under: Bacillus sp. SD088
Lineage: Bacteria; Bacillati; Bacillota; Bacilli; Caryophanales; Bacillaceae
Also listed under: 1 other name
Description: tRNA-Leu
Rfam family: tRNA
About the family: Transfer RNA (tRNA) molecules are approximately 80 nucleotides in length.
Source: RNAcentral
GCGGUAGUGGCGGAAUGGCAGACGCGCUAGGUUGAGGGCCUAGUGGGGGAUAACCCCGUGGAGGUUCAAGUCCUCUCUACCGCA